Long non-coding RNA from Carassius gibelio (silver crucian carp), 8792 nucleotides. RefSeq lists it as uncharacterized. The record is from RefSeq and is a predicted model, not a curated record. The transcript has 2 exons. Lineage: Eukaryota; Metazoa; Chordata; Actinopteri; Cypriniformes; Cyprinidae.
AUUUGGGAUUGACCCUUUUAGAAGCAAUCUUGCAGAUCUGUCAGCCAAAAGGGGUCGCUCUUCAUUCAAACUCCCUGUUUGGGGAAUGGGGGAAUUUCUCAGGCCAGAGGGCAAAGUCAGGGCCUGUGGUCCAGACAGAAACUGUCACCAGAUCGGCCUUAGUGUCACGUGUAACCUCCCUUCAGGAGCACAGAGCAAACUCUGGGCCUCAUCUCGAGCGUCCAACUGACGCCAGUGUGUUUCUCUUGGGCAAUCUACCUUCUGAAAGGCAUGUACCUUCUGGAAUAUAUGCAUGUACCUUUGCGCUUAAAACAAUAUUUGUCCGGCACUUUUGUUUUAUGACUUGUUCGGUUUCUGAAGCCCUGUUAGUUUAAAAACAAACACUUUCAGAUUAGUGGCCGUGUGAACUACACAGAGGUGAUAAACUAUGUACUAAGCCUUAUACGGGCAUGUAGACUAAGUUUAAAGCGAACAGGCAGCGCAGGACAUUGUAGGCACAAAGGCACAGCUUUGUGGACCUAAACAUUGUGAACAGGAAUGAUGGAAGAUUAAUUUGGGGUAGAAGUUUUCAAAACUAUUAAUCCCAAGAACCCAGACUUACAAUAAAGUUACAAUAAAUUGUAUACUUUUAUUAAUACUUAUAUUCUUAUGUACUUUUAUUAACUUUUGUUGAGCUCAACCAAAAUGACGGACCUUCAUAAAAUCUCUAUUUUAAUUAUAUAUUUUUAAACAUUCCAUUCAUCAAAUAAUCACAAUAAAAAUGGCUCAUGUAUUCCACAAAUUAGUAAUAAUAAUAAUAAUAAUAAUAAUAAUAAUUCAACAUUGAUAAUAAUAAGAAAUAUGUCUUGAGCAUCAAAUCAGCAUAUUAAAAUGAUUUUUGAGGAGCAUGUGACACUGAGUACUGGAGUAAUGGCUGCUGAUAAUUACAUUUAAUAAUCACAGGAAUAAAUUACACUUAAAAUUGUCUUAAAAAGAAAACUCUUAUUUUAAAUCAUAGUAAUACUUCACAUUAUUAUUUGUUAUUACUCUUACUGUACAAAUGCAAAUAAAUAAAUAAAUGGUGGCCUUAGUGAGCAUAAGAGAGUUUACUAAUGCCAAAACAAUUAAUACAAAUAUAUUUUGGGAAAUAAUUUUAUAACAUUGUGUCAAACAAUACAUUUAAAUGCAAAUAGAAACUCUUGCAAUUCAGUUCAAAUUUUUCACAAAUUUUUUUACAAAUAUUUUUCUCUCAAAAAUGUAAAUGGACUUCCUAGUGCCUCCUUGUGGCCCCAUGGGGAUCAGCAGACCCCAGUUUAAAAAUUGCUGAUCACCAAUCAGAACUGUAGAAAUCAUGAUUGUUUCCACACAGGUUUCUAGAACUUCCCUGUCAGUGUUUUGAUAAUGUGACAAAGUCACUAUAUAUUUGCUUUUUAGAGAAAAUCAACCUAAAAAUUCCAUGCUUGUUUCAUUUUAAUAUUAAAAAAUUACUCACGCAACUUUAAGAAAAUGUUAUUUUCACUAUUUUGUUCAAAAUCAAUGAAUAAUUUAUGUUCUCAGUCUUGAGAUAUGGACCAAAAGACCAGUGCGCUCACUGUAAUUAGCGCAGGGAUAUCAAUAUGAACAAAGCACCUCAGUAUUUCCCCACUGGAAGGAGAUAUGCGUGAGACAGAAUGGGAACAGGCCUGGGGUGAUGUUGUAAAUGGCUAAUAAAUAUUUACUCGCACUGCAUGUAGGCCAGAGUACCACAAACUGCUUGUAUUCAGUUAAUCAGUAGAUGAGCCUGAUUACUUACAGAUAGUGUUUAGAAAACGAAUUAUUACUGUAAAAGGUCCCUAAUAGCAGGAGGUAUAAUUAGUUCAACCUGCAACACAUCUCACCAAAAUGUUGUUGGUAUAACAUAGUGCUGUACUACUGUCUUUGUCAUAUGCAGUAUGUAAACAGGGUUGCACUUUAUUUUACAGUACGUGUACUAACAUGUACUUAUAGUGUACUUACAGUGUAUUUAUCUAAGAAAGUUCUGGUAACACAAGGUAACUACAUGGGGUAGGGUUAGGUUUAGGGGUAGGUUCAGGGUUAGUACCUAGUUAUUACAUAGUUAUUGUAAUUACUAUAAUAAGUACAUAGUAUGUACAUGAGGAACAUGACUGUAAAAUAAAGUGCUACCGUAAACAGUAUAAACAAAAUAUAAUUACUAAACUUAACCUUCCAUUCUUAAUGAACCAAGAGUUAUAUACUGUAGACUUAUUUUAAUCUCUUUCUUGAAUCAUUAUUUGAUGAAGCUAUAUAUUUUUUGCCCAGGGCUUCUGUAUUGCUCCAUCACUGUAAAAAGAGGAGAGCUCUUCUAACCAUGGCUGCCCUUUAAAUGGGUGGUAUUAACUAAAGGUCUCUGGAACAGUACUUUGGAAAUGAAUCUAUUCUGUUAGGACAGCUGCCCCAUCACACACUGCUUCUGGAAAUCUUUGUGGAACUCAAAGUAAUUUAAGCUUGCUGGAAAUUUUGGCAAAUGAUUAAUAAUCUUCAGACUUCAACCAACAUUUAAACAAACUCUUCGCUCACAAUUUGUGAGAUGCUCUGAGCACAUUUCAUCUUUUUGUAAUCUGUAUGUUUAUUCAAAAUACUCGCUCCCGCAAAUCAACAUUUGGGCUUCCCUGGGUCCUCAGGUGAACAGUUGGCCUAAUUUUCCAUUCUUUCUCUCUGUGCCUAGUGUGGAUGUGGCAGGCACCAGCUCUUGGCUCACGAUGGACUAAAUCUAUUAUUCAUAUUGCCUGGUAUCUUAGCGACAUUGUCCUGCCACCUGUCCAAUAGACAAGCUCGCCUUGUUGUACAAAGCGAAGACAUAGUUGUUGACAAAUGGAGGCUUUGUUCUACAGGCCCACACACACAAUCCAGUGUUUGUGUAGUAAUCUGGAAAGUUCAUUCUGAUGGACUGUAAGAUUUCCUGCUUGACUUUUUAUGUGUUUUCAUGAAAAACGUGCCACAGUGGUAUUGUACAAUGUGCUGAAAUAAUACCAGUCAGAGCUGCAUCAGACAGUACAUCAGUCAUAACAUAAUUGUUUGUUUAUUCUGAUGUUCUGAUCUUUCAGAUGACAGUGACUUCAGACUGUGAAUCACAAGCCAUACGAUGCAGCUUUCCUCAUUUGUGCAGCGUGGCCUCAUUGCCAUGCAAAGCUAGCAUGCAGAAUUUUUUUUUUUUUCAAAUGCAUAAAUCUCUUUCCAGUCUAUAUUCUCAUCAAGAAGUUUUUCAUGUUUAAUAAAUUACAGCACCGAUCCUCUAAGACUUUGUUAUUCAUAAAGCAAUGUAUUCAAUUGGGAUACAUUUAAAAUCUUAAUCAUAACCUGCAGGACUAUUUGCAGUGUGCUAAUAUUUGUCUUGAUGGGGCUUAAAUAAGCCCGCAGACAAAGCUCGCAGAUGGGCUUAUCCUGAGAAGCAAAGCUGUACUGCAGUAAAGACGGUCUCAUUGUUUGUAAUUGGAUUAUAUUCACAGAUUUUUGUAACCAAAAGUGCAUCUAUUCUUUACUAUACAUCAGCUCUUUUCACAAAACAAUUAUUAUCUCAGUCGUAGGGAUUUUUCAUCUGAAAAAUAAGUAAAUAAUAAUAAUAAUAAAAAAGUUUCAUCUGAAGUAUAAUGUCAGAAACUGACAUUAUGCUUUGUCAUUUUACCACAGAAAAAUACAUUUACCAGGAACUACUAAUGAGAGCAAAAAAAGAAAAUUAAAAAAACAUUGAAAAACUAUUGAAAAAAUGUAGUACAGAUUUAAAAAUAAAUAAAUAAAUAUUGGAAUGUAUAACAAUAAAAAAAUAAUGCACCAUUUGUGUUAUUUAAUAGAAUUCUGCAUUACUAAAAUAUAAACAAACAAACAAUGAAAUAUUUGUAUUAAUUAUUUAAUUAUUAUUUGAGAUUUAUAUUAUAUUAUAUUAUAUUAUAUUAUAUUAUAUUAUAUUAUAUUAUAUUAUAUUAUAUUAUAUUAUAUUAUAUUAUAUUAGAGUUUUCAAACAGAGGUUAGCAUUCCUGUGUUUUCACAAUAGCUUCACAAAAAUAUAUAUUUUAAUAUAUAUAUAUUCAUAUAUCCAUAUAUUUAUGGAUUUUUGUCCACUAAAUGCCUUUGUCAAAACAUUCCCUUUAUUUUAAGUGCAGAUUUGGUCAGAAUACUGUAAGAAUAAUGCUUACCAUAGUGAAUUCAUGUUGAAUUAGGGUAUAGGCAUUUUGAACGAGUUUUAUAUUAAUGACACUGUCCCCACCAUCUGUCCAAAAUACAGGACAAGGGACCAUCUCCAAUAUGCUAGCCACCAAAGGCAAAGUAAUUAAUGACAGCAAUAAUGCCAGCAAUAAUGACUAGAUUAAAUAUUUUACAGGCCGACUGCCAUGCAGUGUCAAAGCCAAAAGAAAGCUAACGGCCUCCACUGAGAUAAUGCUUGAAGAGAAAGUCAUAAAAAAAGAUAUUGGUUAAAUAAUGUAAAUGACAAAAUGUUGAUGAAAGCUGUGUGGAGAAUUCUACGUAGUUCAUGUUGUUUCACUGAUUAUGUGGCCUUGACAUUAAAACUGAAGUUAAAAUUCUAUUUGAGUGUUUUAGGGCAUCGUUUGAAGAGGUUUAAGCCCUAAAGUUUUUAACUCCCUUAAAAAUCACAUUGUCCUUCUGCUAGUGGUACCUAGAGGAGCGGGUCAGAGAUUCACUCUCUGUCCUAGAACAUGGUCUCAGUCUGUGCUCAAUUGACAGACCUGGCAUCUGACAGGGGCAUCUGCUCGCAUAGCCUGUGCCAGCGCGGUGUAUACACGGAGACAUCUGCUCCAUUAGUGCCCAGGGGGCAUCCUGGGCAGUACAGUAGACUGGGGGAAUAACUACUGCCAGCUCCCUUCCAUGGCACAUGCAAUGAAUAGCAUGGUGUAGCUGUUAGCAAGCCACAGUAGGAAUAACCGGUGAUGUUUUCUUAGAUGGAGGAAGACAGGCAAGAUUUUGCUCUGUUCAUGAUUUAUAAACCAUCAUCUGAUUUACAGUACAACAUUACAAAUUUGUUUUUAUUAUGAUAGCUAAUCAAUACUGUUGUACUAGGCAUCAUUUUAUGAUGCGUAUUGAACCUUUUUUGGUUUUCAAACCAGAGGACACUGCUACACCUGCAGUACUCUCCAAUAAUUUCUCAUUUUCCCACUCCCCCAGUUUGGAGAGAACUACAGACCAGUUUCCCUUCUUACUUUAAUUGCAAAAACACUUGAAUGAGCUGUGUUCAACCAAGUCUCAAGUUCAAACAACAUUUUUGACAGCAACCAAUCUGGCUUCAGAAGUGGACAUUCAACCGAGACAUUCAACAUUCUACCUUGCUCUCAGUUGUUGAAGCCCUAAGACUGGCAAGAGCGGAAUCCAAAUCUUCAAUACUUAUCUUGCUUGAUCUGUCCGCUGCUUUUGACAUGAUUAACCACCAGAUCCUCCUGUCAACCCUACCACACUCCAGUGGUUUAAGUCUUACAUAUUAGAUAGGUCCUUCAAAGUAUCUUUGAGAGGUGAAGUGUCCAUGUCACAACAUCUAACUACUGGGGUGCCUCAGGGCUCAGUUAUUGGACCACUUCUCUUCUCUGUCUACAUGUCAUCAUUAGGUUCUGUCAUUCAGAAACAUGGCUUUUCAUACCACUGCUAGGCUGAUGACACUUAACUGUACCUCCUAAUUCCAUCCUGAUGAUCCAACGAUAGCUGCUCACAUCGCAGCUUGUCUAACAGACAUUUCUUGCUGGAUGAAGACAAUCACCUUCAACUCAACCUUGCUAAGACAGAACUGCUUGUGGUUCUAGCUGGACUAUUGCAAUGCUCUCUUGGCAGGUCUUCCAGCAGUUCUAUCAAACCUUUACAAUUAAUCCUGAAAGGGGAAGCAAGAUGCAUUUUUAAUGAGUCGAAAAGAAUGCAUGUCACACCUCUGUUUAUCAAUUUGCACUGGCUACCAAUAGCUGCUUGCAUAAAAUUCAAGGCAUUGAUGUUUGCCUACAAAACCAUCACUGGCUCUCCACCCCUUUACCUAAAUUCAUUACUUUAGACUUAUAUGCCCUCUAGAAGCUUGCAUUCUGGAAGUGAACGUCGCUUGAUUGAGCCAGCCAAAAGAAGCACAAAGUCACUUUUACAGACUUUUAAAUUAAACGUUCCCUUCUGGUGGAAUGACUUCCCCUACUCAAUCCGAGCAGUUUCUUUAUUUGACCAUCUAAGUCUAGCACUCUCUAUUCUAAUUCUAUUCUUAAAAAAUAAAAGCUUUCUAAUCUUUUUGUAUUCUGUUUUCUUUUCAUGUAUUAUACAGUUAACAAAAGCAAAACAGACCUCUAACACUAGCUUGCUCUAUUCUUUUUUUUUCAAAUCUGUUUUCUUUUUAUUUAUUUUAUGAUUUAAAAAGUCAUUGCAAUGUGUACUGCAUUAAGCUGAGAUUUGUUAUAGCACUUGUAUAUCAUUGCUCUUUUGUUGAUUGCGAUUGUUUUCAUUGUCCCCAUUUGUACGUCGCUUUGGAUAAAAGCAUCUGCUACAUGACUAAAUAUAAUGUAAUGUAAUAUAUAUAUAUAUGAUAUAUAAAUCUGACUUCUAACUUCACUAAAGUGUACAGUACUGAAUUCUUUGCAUAUAAAUCAAGCAGACCAAACGCUGUCAGUUUGAAUGUGCAUAUAGUCAUCUCUAAUAUGCUGUUUUACAAUUUCAUAUAGGGGAAAGAGAGAGAAAGAAAUAGUUAUUAUGCUUUCCAAAAUCUUUUUUUAGCAUGCGGUUUAUUAUAUGUACCAAAAUAGGUUCAAUAUGCAUCAUAAAAUGCAUAAAAGUGCUGUCAAAUGAUUAAUCACGAUUAAUCACAUCCAAAAUAAAAGUUUUGUGUACAUAAUAUAUGUGAGUGUACUGUAUAUAUAUAUAUAUUCAAACAACAUAAAUAAAUUAUAUAUUAAUAUAGAUAUAUAUUUAGAUGUAAAUGUUUGUUUAAAUAUAUACAUGCAUGUUUGUGUGUUUAUAAAUUGUGUGGUAAAUGCUGUUCCAUCAAAGAAUGCUGGAAAAACACUUGGUCUUAGGGGAAAAAAAGCAAAAAAUAAAUAAAUAAAUAAAUAAAAAGGAAAAAGAAAGAAGGGCCAAAUCAGCAUAUUAAAAUGAUUUCUGAAGGAUCAUGUGGCACUGAACACUGGAGUAAUGGCAGAUGAAAAUUCAGCUUUGGCAUCACAGGGAUAAACCAUAUAGAAAGCAGUUAUUUUAUAUUGUAUUAAUAUUUCAUAAUUAUAAAAUUCAUCUUACUGUUUGUAGUGUAUCCUUAGCAAAGCAACGUAUUCUUGGAAUGCAUAAGAAAAAGCUAACUGACUUCAAACUCUUGAAUGGUUGUAUAUAUUUGCCUGGAACUGGUAGCUGUAUAAUCUUGAAGGUCUGUUAAUACUCUUUUAAACAAAUCCGUUACGGUGAAAUUUGAGCUAAGGGAGUUUGGAGUGCACACAGGUGGCCCUGUGAAAGCUCCAUUUCAACAUUUACUCAGGUUCCAUAAUGAUAUUUGUAAAAAGCAUUGAUUAAAUUAUUAAAAUACCCUCAAUCUUCCAAAUUAAAGCCUUAUAAACUAUAAAUGACCAUUUUACUUAUUUUACCAUACAAGCUUCUUUACAUUAACAGUUUUUGAAAUAAUACAAUCAGCUACAUUACUAUUUCCAUCAUAAUGGGUUUAGGGAACUUAAAGUUAAAGGUCAGGUAUUGACACUGAUGUACUGUAGAGCAGUCAGCGCACAGGUUGAUGCCUCUCAGGAGUUUGCUGUGAGGACAUCAGCCAUCUGAUGUGUAAAGAGCAGCGGGGUCAAGAGGUCACCAUUUACAGCUUGUGUUACAGCAUAACAGCUUUUAAUGGACGUGGACUAUUACGGACCAUUAGCACCACUCGCAUGUGCUUUCACAUGGGAAAAUUGAAUACCAGACUGAACAAAGUUUAGCAUUAUGGUGAUGUUUAUGCUUUGAUUUUACAGACGGACUGGGUUAUUAUUCUAGAACAUCUUUAAUUUCAUCCAUUUAAUAGUGAGAAUCUUAAUAAAGUGAUUGCACAAAAUCAGAACGAUUUUGCUGAGGAGUGUAAUGAUGUCAGAUAACCGUGCAAUUGUACUAAAUGUGUUUGCAUAACUGCAUAAAGGUUAUAGCUGCAUAAGCACAGACUAAAUGCUGAUUGCUUAUUUUGGCAGCUUAAAAUGGGAUUAUGUUGUAUGCAAGUUUUUAAAACUAUCAUAAUUAACAAUUCAAGGAUAUCAAAAGUAGGAUGGAAAUAUCAGAUAAAUGGAGUAAUCUGCUCAAUUACAUAUCAGCAUUUUGAUAAGUCAGCAGUUUGCAAUGGGACACAUUUUGAAUGUUGUCUUCUCGAGCAUGUCUCUAUAAUUAAUAGAGAAAGGGGUAAUGGUCCAGUAUUAAGGAAGAUUUUGAUGUUAGAUGAGCUAUGAUAAUGAAAAAGGGAUGGAAAACACAUUAACUUUUCUCUGAACCUAGAGGUUCAAAUGCAGGAGCAAUAUCCAAAUCAAAACAUUUCAUCAUCUCUUCCCUGCCAACAGAAAUUAGGGAGCCCACACAGAAGGGUCAAGCCUUGAAGAAACUGAUCCAUCAAGUCCCCAAACCCAAUCACAACACCAUGAAAGUGCUCUUCCACCACCUGAGGAGAGUCUUGACAAAGUCACAGAAAAACUUGAUGUCGACUCAGGGCAUCAGCAUUGUGUUUGGACCGACACUCAUGUGGCCCGAGUUUGAAUCCGGAAACAUGGAAGUCAAUAUGGUGUACCAGAAUCAAAUAGUGGAGUCCAUUCUCAUUGAAUGCGUGGAGAUCUUUGGGAAAGAGUGAGCAAUGAAGAAGAGGG